RNAcentral lists this ribosomal RNA (347 nucleotides) under uncultured bacterium. RNAcentral's name for it is "partial 16S ribosomal RNA". It matches the Rfam family "Bacterial small subunit ribosomal RNA", at positions 338 to 682 of the family's 1533-position model. The record is from RNAcentral.
CCUACGGGUGACAGCAGUGAGGAAGAGUGGUCAAUGGGCGCGAGCCUGAACCAGCCAAGUAGCGUGAAGGAUGACUGCCCUACGGGUUGUAAACUUCUUUUAUAAAGGAAUAAAGUGAGGCACGUGUGCCUUUUUGUAUGUACUUUAUGAAUAAGGAUAGGCUAACUCCGUGCCAGCAGCCGCGGUAAUACGGAGGAUCCGAGUGUUAUCCGGAUUUAUUGGGUUUAAAGGGAGCGUAGAGGGGUUGUUAAGUCAGUUGGGAAAGUUUGCGGCUCAACCGUAAAAUUGCAAUUGAUACUGGCAGUCUUGAGUACAGUUGAGGUAGGCGGAAUUCGUGGUGUAGCGGU